Desmophyllum pertusum is the source of this 73-nucleotide non-coding RNA. The record is from the annotation of a GenBank genome assembly. Lineage: Eukaryota; Metazoa; Cnidaria; Anthozoa; Scleractinia; Caryophylliidae.
GGCAGUGUAGCUCAGUGGUAGAACGUCCGACCGGUGUGCGGAAGGUCAUAGGUUCGACUCCGAAUGAUUUCUG